CCAUGGGCGGAAAAUGGCCUAUGGGGAUGGAAACUACUCCAGGUCCUCCCAGGAGUGGCCCGGAUGCUCAUGUUAAGUGAGUGACUAUUUCUCGAGGCUUUCCGGAGUACAUCUGAACAACAGCCACCCCUACCUGCUCCCAA
This is a long non-coding RNA of Fukomys damarensis (Damara mole-rat), 143 nucleotides long. RefSeq lists it as uncharacterized. The record is from RefSeq and is a predicted model, not a curated record. NCBI's taxonomy places the organism in Eukaryota, Metazoa, Chordata, Mammalia, Rodentia, Bathyergidae. The transcript is spliced from 2 exons.